CGCGUAGGCGGUCGGUCAAGUCGGUUGUGAAAGCCCUCGGCUCAACCGAGGAACUGCAUCCGAUACUGGCUGGCUAGAGUAUGGUAGGGGAGAGUGGAACUCCUGGUGGAGCGGUGAAAUGCGUAGAUAUCAGGAGGAACGCCGGUGGCGAAAGCGACUCUCUGGACCACAACUGACGCUGAGGCGCGAAAGCUAGGGGAGCGAACG
RNAcentral lists this ribosomal RNA (207 nucleotides) under uncultured bacterium. Its description in RNAcentral is "partial 16S ribosomal RNA". It matches the Rfam family "Bacterial small subunit ribosomal RNA", at positions 568 to 774 of the family's 1533-position model. The record is from RNAcentral.